ACACGCAUACACACACACACAAACGUACAUAUUUGUGUGUGCGCGCGCGCGCGCGCGUGUGUGUGUGUGUGUGUGUGUGUGUGUGUGUGUG
This 91-nucleotide microRNA precursor is filed under the name Trypanosoma vivax Y486. The record is from RNAcentral. Lineage: Eukaryota; Euglenozoa; Kinetoplastea; Trypanosomatida; Trypanosomatidae.